Molecule: ribosomal RNA, 305 nt
Filed under: uncultured microorganism
Description: bacterial SSU rRNA
Rfam family: Archaeal small subunit ribosomal RNA
Source: RNAcentral
GUGCACCAGGCGAGAAUACUUUACAAUGUGCGAAAGCACGAUAAGGGAACUCUGAGUGCCUCCUAAGGAGGCUGUUCAGGUGUCUAAAAAGCACCUGGAGUAAGGGCUGGGUAAGACCGGUGCCAGCCGCCGCGGUAACACCGGCAGCCCAGGUGGUAGCCACUUUUAUUGGGUCUAAAGCGUCCGUAGCCGGUUGAGUAAGUUCCUUGGGAAAUUUGGCUGCUCAACAGUCAAGCUUCCAGGGGAAUACCUGCUCGACGUUGGGACGUGGGAGAGGUCAGGAGGUACUCCGAGGGGGUAGGGGU